AGAAUCAACGCUGGCGGCGUGCCUAACACAUGCAAGUCGCACGAGAAAAGGUCUUCGGAUCUGAGUAAAGUGGCGCACGGGUGAGUAACACGUGAAUGAUCUACCCUCGAGUGGGGAAUAACUGGGAGAAAUCCUGGCUAAUACCGCAUAACACUUACGAGUCAAAGCCGCAAGGCGCUUGGGGAGGAGUUCGCGGCCGAUUAGCUAGUUGGCGGGGUAAUGGCCCACCAAGGCGAUGAUCGGUA
Molecule: ribosomal RNA, 245 nt
Filed under: uncultured bacterium
Lineage: Bacteria
Description: partial small subunit ribosomal RNA
Rfam family: Bacterial small subunit ribosomal RNA
Source: RNAcentral